UACGGAGGGUGCUAGCGUUGUUCGGAAUCACUGGGCGUAAAGGGCGUGUAGGCGGUCUGUUAAGUCUGGUGUGAAAUCCCCCCGCUCAACGGGGGAACGGCGCCGGAUACUGGCAGACUCGAGUACCGGAGAGGAAGGUGGAAUUCCCGGUGUAGCGGUGAAAUGCGUAGAUAUCCGGAGGAACACCGGUGGCGAAGGCGGCUUCCUGGACCGAUUACUGACGCUGAGGCGCGAAAGCUAGGGGAGCAAACGGG
RNAcentral lists this ribosomal RNA (254 nucleotides) under uncultured bacterium. RNAcentral's name for it is "partial 16S ribosomal RNA". It matches the Rfam family "Bacterial small subunit ribosomal RNA", at positions 524 to 776 of the family's 1533-position model. The record is from RNAcentral.